UGGUGGCGAGUGGCGAACGGGUGAGUAAUACAUCGGAAUGUACCCAGUAGUGGGGGAUAACUAGUCGAAAGAUUAGCUAAUACCGCAUACGCACUAUGGUGGAAAGCGGGGGAUCGCAAGACCUCGCGCUAUUGGAGCAGCCGAUGUCCGAUUAGGUAGUUGGUGGGGUAAAAGCCUACCAAGCCCGCGAUCGGUAACUGGUCUGAGAGGACGACCAGUCACACUGGGACUGAGACACGGCCCAGACUCCUACGGGAGGCAGCAGUGGGGAAUUUUGGACAAUGGGGGAAACCCUGAUCCAGCAAUGCCGCGUGUGUGACGAAGGCCUUCGGGUUGUAAAGCACUUUUGGCGGGAACGAAACGGCGCUUUCUAAUACAGAGCGCUAAUGACGGUACCCGCAGAAUAAGCACCGGCUAACUACGUGCCAGCAGCCGCGGUAAUACGUA
This 447-nucleotide ribosomal RNA is filed under the name uncultured bacterium. RNAcentral's name for it is "bacterial SSU rRNA". It matches the Rfam family "Bacterial small subunit ribosomal RNA", at positions 86 to 529 of the family's 1533-position model. The record is from RNAcentral.